CACCAUGGAAUACUAUGCAGACCUAAAAAGGAAUGAGAUCAUGUCGUUUGCAGGGACAUGGAUGGAGCUAGAAGCCAUUAUCCUCAGAAGACUAACACAGGAACAGAAAACCAAACACCACAUAUUCUCACUUAUAAGUGGGAGCUGAAUGAUGAGAACACAUGGACAUGUGGUGUGGGAACAACACACCUGGGGCCUGUUGGAGGGUGGGGGCUGGGAGGAGGGAGAGCAUCAAGAAUAGCUAAUGAGGCCAGGCACGGUGGCUCAUACCUGUAAUCCCAGCAUUUUGGGAGGCUGAGGCGGGCAGAUCAUUUGAGAUCAGGAGUUCGAGACCAGCCCGGCCAAUAUGGUGAAACCCCGUCUCUAUUAAAAAUACAAAAAUAUUAGCCAGGCGUGGUGACAAUGCCUGUAGUCCCUGCAACUUGGGACGGUGAGGCAGGAGAAUCGCUUGAACCUGGGAGGUGGAGUUUGCAGUGAGCCAAGGUCACGCCACUGCACUCCAGCCUGGGUGAAAGAGUGAGGCUC
Molecule: long non-coding RNA, 525 nt
Filed under: Pongo abelii (Sumatran orangutan)
Lineage: Eukaryota; Metazoa; Chordata; Mammalia; Primates; Hominidae
Description: lincRNA
Source: RNAcentral